RNAcentral lists this microRNA precursor (97 nucleotides) under Nicotiana attenuata. RNAcentral describes it as "MIR6152 microRNA precursor family". It matches the Rfam family "MIR6152 microRNA precursor family". The record is from Rfam by way of RNAcentral. Lineage: Eukaryota; Viridiplantae; Streptophyta; Magnoliopsida; Solanales; Solanaceae.
UGGACAAAUUAUUGUAUUCGACUGUAUUCACAGCGUGAAACAUGAGAUUACACUGUUUUUAAAACGGAAAGUGAAUCAAUUAGCAUAAUAGACUCCU